RNAcentral lists this small RNA (499 nucleotides) under Drosophila pseudoobscura pseudoobscura. RNAcentral's name for it is "GA30651". Lineage: Eukaryota; Metazoa; Arthropoda; Insecta; Diptera; Drosophilidae. The record is from RNAcentral.
GUCCAAAGUCAAAAGACCGAUUGGAUUAGACACCGCGCUGCAACGAGGUUGGGUGUGCAAUACGGUGAGGUGGAAGGUUGAACUAGACAUCCCGCAGAGCCCUCGCAUGUGACCUCCACUUCACAACCACCAGCGAAGAUAUCCCGGCCAUCAAUUUGCCAAAAGUGCUCAAAGCCAACGCUUCGGGAGUUCUUUAAAGUGAGAUCUGUGCCCCUCUCAGGGAUCUUCUUGCCACCAAGUGCAAUGCGGGUCGCCUCAUAAGCUUUACGCCUGCGUUGUAGCAUCCUAAAAUUUUAGUGAACAUUUUACAUAGACUAUAUACCGAUAGAAUCGAUGCGGACUCGGAAAUGUACUUGGACCAUUCUUUGACGCUGAUUUGAAUUUCUGAUGUGGAGUAGGCCAACUAGAACUCUACCUUUAUGGUGGUGCGGAAAAGUGUUUAUUACACUUCCAAGCAUAACCAUAUAAAUAAAUAGAUUGUUGUCUACCAAAAAAUCUA